RNAcentral lists this long non-coding RNA (1233 nucleotides) under Anser brachyrhynchus (Pink-footed goose). RNAcentral describes it as "lncRNA (ENSABRG00000007823.1)". The record is from RNAcentral. Lineage: Eukaryota; Metazoa; Chordata; Aves; Anseriformes; Anatidae.
AUGGGCUAUUUCUGGGCCACCCGGCUGAGUAAUGGAAUGAGUUGUGCUGAGAUUUUGGGCGGGUCGGUGCCUCUGCCCCGUGAGUCACCCGCGGGCAGGGCUCGAGGCGCUGCUGGGGCCCCGCUGCUCAGGGUGGGUGCUGGCCCCGGCCCCAGCCCUGUCCCUGUCAGCUCCUGCUGGGGGCCGUGGGGGGGGGCCGGGCUGCGCAGCCCCUCUCCGCUGGGAGCCGGCAGCCCCCAGCGCGCCGCGUGGCUGUGUGCGGAUCAGAUCUCAGUCAGAUAUCCUGCGGGCUCGGCACGGGCAGACCUCGUCUCCCUGUCUGGACGCGGGCUGCCUGCCUCCGCUGCUGCUCUCUGUGCCUUGUGCUGCGGAUGUGUCUCCCCCUGCCUUGUACUGGGUAGAUACCAGCACUUCCCACAGCACCUUUCUUCCUCCAUCACUCUGAGGUGUGGGAUACCAAAGCAGCAAAUCCCAUUUUACUGUGGGCAAAGGCAUUUUCUAGUAGAUAUUUUUGCCCACCAGCUUUCCUUUUCCUGUGCUGUGGAGAUGGUGGCAGGUGAGUGGACGAGUCUUUGCCCAGAUGAGAAGGCUGGUUUGCAACAGGGGGGGUGCAUUUCUUGUAUCCCAAGGGAUAUGCCACCCUUGAGCCCCCCCUCCCCGAGGGCAGGAGUCAGCAGACUGCUCCAUCCCUUCCCUGGCUCCAUACCUCAAACGUGGUGCCUCCUCCUGGUGCCCUCCCCGGCUGGUUGCCCAUGCGUGGGGCCGGGGGGGUUCCUGGCCCAGCUGGGGAGCCGUGGGGCGGCAGGAGGAGGAGGAGGAGGGCAGGGGGACGUGGGGUGUGAGCCGCGCCGGGGGGCUCCCCUCAGAGCUCAGCCUGGCCAAGGAGCCUGCUGGGCACUUCGGGUGCCUUCUUCAGCUUCGGCGGUGCACAAACGUGCUCGCCCCGUGCUGGGGCACGCUGCUCACCGGGAUGAGAGUUUUGCGUGUGAGGCUCUGGUGGAGGAUUGCUGGAUCCUGCCGGGCCCUUGGUCCUCUCUCUUCUCUCAUUACAAGUGCGGCCUUACUCUUUUUAUUAAUGCCUCUACAGCAGUCUGCAGCCACAAAACUUUUGUGCUUCACCUUGUCAGCCCAAGUGCUUAUAACUUGUGGAGAUCUGGGGCUGUGGCCAGAGCCCGUAUCUGGAUGAAACCUUUCUGUCUCCUGCUCGGUCUGCGGGAGCUGCGGUGGUGCUGA